AAAGUCGUAACAAGGUUUCCGUAGGUGAACCUGCGGAAGGAUCAUUACCGAGUUAGGGUCUUCUCAGGCCCGAUCUCCCACCCUGUGUCUACUUAACCACGUUGCUUCGGCGGGCCUGUCUGGACUCACGCCCGGACUGCCGGGGGGUCUCAUCGCCCCUGGCUCGUGCCCGUCAGUGGCCUCCUAUUAAACCCUGAUGAAUUGUGUCGUCUGAGUCUGAAUUUAAUUAAAAACAAAACUUUCAACAACGGAUCUCUUGGUUCUG
RNAcentral lists this unclassified non-coding RNA (265 nucleotides) under Ascomycota sp. RNAcentral describes it as "partial contains small subunit ribosomal RNA, internal transcribed spacer 1, and 5.8S ribosomal RNA". The stretch from base 1 to 47 matches the Rfam family "Eukaryotic small subunit ribosomal RNA", at positions 1785 to 1831 of the family's 1831-position model. Lineage: Eukaryota; Fungi; Ascomycota. The record is from RNAcentral.